This 531-nucleotide long non-coding RNA is filed under the name Elaeis guineensis (African oil palm). RNAcentral's name for it is "long non-coding RNA (EGUI_LNC052683)". Lineage: Eukaryota; Viridiplantae; Streptophyta; Magnoliopsida; Arecales; Arecaceae. The record is from RNAcentral.
UACCCAUAAUUUGUUCUAAAAAUUAACAAAGAUAAUUUUGUAUAUUCUCAAGGUAUUGAGAAUUUGAGACAUACAUUAUUAGUGGUUAAUUUCUAAAUAUUUUUGAUCGAAGGAUCGUCACAGAGGACAGUGAUCAAUCAUUCAAGAUCGAUGCACGGAUCACCUCCCUUUAGGGCAGAUAAGUCUCGAAUCUGUAGUGUAGAGAUACUAUGGUGAAAGUGCAAGUGGUUAUUAGAGAACAACUUGUACUGAGUAUGACCAACAUGAAAAAUUUUUUGGAUGUCUACUCACUCAUCAGUGAUCUUCUCGAUAUUGUAGUGGUGUGACUGGUCCUUUGACCUGCGAUGUGUUGGCUAUUCACAGCAAGGCUACUUAAUUUGACUACAUGUUCUCUUGAUCCCUAGCCAUUUGGAUCCUUGCUGUAUAUAUUGGCUAUUGUAGGUUCAGAUUCACUGUUUGAAGUAGGAUGCACCUAGAUGAAAUCUAUCGAUCUUGGUAAAAAAGGAGAAGUCCUAUGUGAUUCAUAAGACU